GCCGGGUGUGGUGGUGCAUGCCUGUAGUUCCAGCUACCUGGGAGGCUGAGGCAGGAGGAUCACUUGAGCCUGGGGAGGUCGAGGCUGCAGUGAGUUGUGACUGCACCACUGCACUCCAGCCUGGGUGAUAGAGUGAGACCCUGUCUCAA
Molecule: unclassified non-coding RNA, 149 nt
Organism: Papio anubis (olive baboon)
Lineage: Eukaryota; Metazoa; Chordata; Mammalia; Primates; Cercopithecidae
Rfam family: Metazoan signal recognition particle RNA
About the family: The signal recognition particle (SRP) is a universally conserved ribonucleoprotein.
Source: Ensembl